ACACAUGCAAGUCGAGGGGCAGCGCGGGAUAGCAAUAUCCUGGCGGCGACCGGCGGAAGGGUGCGUAACGCGUGAGCGACAUGCCCGUUGCCCGGGGACAACCGGUGGAAACGCCGACUAAUCCCCGAUGGGAUAUUGUGCCGCAUGGCACGAUAUUGAAAGUUACGGCGGCGACGGAUUGGCUCGCGUCCGAUUAGCUUGUUGGCGGGGUAACGGCCCACCAAGGCUACGAUCGGUAGGGGUUCUGAGAGGAAGGCCCCCCACAAUGGGACUGAGACACGGCCCAUACUCCUACGGGAGGCAGCAGUGAGGAAUAUUGGUCAAUGGGCGGAAGCCUGAACCAGCCAUGCCGCGUGCGGGAAGGAGGCCCUAUGGGCUGUGAACCGCUUUUGCCUGGGGGCAAUAAGGGCGUCGCGCACGCCCGAUGAGAGUACCAGGCGAAUAAGCAUCGGCUAACUCCGUGCCAGCAGCCGCGGUAAUACGGGGGAUGCGAGCGUUAUCCGGAUUCAUUGGGUUUAAAGGGUGCGUAGGCUGUGCGUCAAGUCGGGGGUGAAAUUCCGGUGCUCAACACCGGGGCUGCCCUUGAUACUGUCGCGCUGGAGUGCGGAUGCCGCCGGAGGAAUGAGUGGUGUAGCGGUGAAAUGCUUAGAUAUCACUCAGAACACCGAUUGCGAAGGCAUCUGGCGAAUCCGUAACUGACGCUGAGGCACGAAAGCGUGGGGAUAGAACAGGAUUAGAUACCCUGGUAUUCCACGCCGUAAACGAUGAUGGCUAACCGCCGGCGACACACUGUCGGUGGCCAAGCGAAAGCGAUAAGCCAUCCACCUGGGGAGUACGUCGGCAACGAUGGAACUCAAAGGAAUUGACGGGGGCCCGCACAAGCGGAGGAACAUGUGG
Molecule: ribosomal RNA, 897 nt
Filed under: uncultured bacterium
Lineage: Bacteria
Description: bacterial SSU rRNA
Rfam family: Bacterial small subunit ribosomal RNA
Source: RNAcentral